This is a long non-coding RNA of Gallus gallus (chicken), 673 nucleotides long. RefSeq lists it as uncharacterized. The record is from RefSeq and is a predicted model, not a curated record. Lineage: Eukaryota; Metazoa; Chordata; Aves; Galliformes; Phasianidae. The transcript is spliced from 2 exons.
GCCACACCCAGCCCUGGUGCAGCUGGGCGGGUGGCAGAGGCAGCACAGUAGCAUCAGUGAGAUCAACACCACCAGGCUUCUGCUGGCCCAGGCCACAGCACUGCGCUGAGCAGGCUUUGCUGGGUCUUAUACAAGGGUGAAGGAGAGGCUUGACAAACAGAGGCUGCUAUUUAUGAGUCCAGCGUUAGUUUCUCUUUGUGCCUAACUUCUCAAUGGGGGAAACUGUAGAAAGUCUUCCUGAUGGUUUGAACACUAGCAGUCUCCACUCACUACAAGCUGGAAAUCAUGAAACACACAGGCAGAUGAAGGCACAGGGAGAAAAUGAUAAUCUUCAAACCAAAUUAUCCAGCAGUGAGGGUGAGACAAAUGACCAGCCAAAGGCAAAACAGAAAAACCUCAGGCUGAAUCAAAAAUCUCAGUCUGACCUGGAAAAGCUGAGGCUGGAUAUGGAGCUUACCAUGCUGAAAUGCCAGUAUGAUGAGAAGCAAAGGAAAUGGCAACGUGAAGAGAAAACAUGCUUUCUCAGACUGCAGUCAUCACCAGCGCGUCUAAGUUUAUUUAAAAAGCAGUGAGGAAGAGUGGGGAGUUCCAGAUGUGUGCUCACUACUCAGAGGUUCCCAACGUAAUCCUGAAGCAUCUUCACGUCUCAAUAAAAUUUCAGUCAGUACAUUCA